AUGUUUGUGCUGGAACGUCGGUUGCAUCUCGAGGAGGAGAUCCGGGCAAGGCGCGUUGCUCGUGUCACUGUCGGCCUUCCUUCGGAUUCGUCAAAGGCAGAGCAGGAGGCUGCAUUGAGAGGCGGAGCAGGACCCCAAGGCCAUGGAGGGAAAAAUCCAAAGGAGGACGAUGCGGCGGCGCCGAAGAAAGAGGCAGAGCCGGCUACGGGCUUCGCCAUGGAGGACACCAUUACGAAGUUCGAGGUCACCCAAGCGAAGGAGAUGGUAGAGAAGACCGCCAUCCUCGAGCCCAUCCAGGAUGAAGUAUAUGUGGAGACCAACCGACGUUUCAUCCGACAACAGAGGGUGGAGAUCAACGAGCUCUUCACCUCUAGUUCGUCCAACGACGAGCCGGAAUUGCCGCAAUUGCCCAUCUACCCGAAGCCGGGCACGGAGAUCGUGGACAUCUCUGACGAUGACUAG
This 462-nucleotide ribosomal RNA is filed under the name Triticum aestivum (bread wheat). RNAcentral describes it as "partial small subunit ribosomal RNA". Lineage: Eukaryota; Viridiplantae; Streptophyta; Magnoliopsida; Poales; Poaceae. The record is from RNAcentral.